Molecule: ribosomal RNA, 1473 nt
Filed under: Apilactobacillus kunkeei
Lineage: Bacteria; Bacillati; Bacillota; Bacilli; Lactobacillales; Lactobacillaceae
Description: bacterial SSU rRNA
Rfam family: Bacterial small subunit ribosomal RNA
Source: RNAcentral
AGUCGAAACGAGCUCUCCCAAAUUGAUUUUAUGCUUGCAUAAAUGAUUUUUGGAUUCGGAGCGAGUGGCGAACUGGUGAGUAACACGUGGGUAACCUGCCCCGAAGCGGGGGAUAACAUUUGGAAACAAGUGCUAAUACCGCAUAAUUAGUUGGAACCGCAUGGUUCCAACUUGAAAGAUGGCUCUGCUAUCACUUUGGGAUGGACCCGCGCCGUAUUAGUUAGUUGGUGAGAUAAAAGCCCACCAAGACGAUGAUACGUAGCCGACCUGAGAGGGUAAUCGGCCACAUUGGGACUGAGACACGGCCCAGACUCCUACGGGAGGCAGCAGUAGGGAAUCUUCCACAAUGGACGAAAGUCUGAUGGAGCAACGCCGCGUGAGUGAUGAAGGUUUUCGGAUCGUAAAACUCUGUUGUUAAAGAAGAACAAGUGUUAGAGUAACUGUUAACACUUUGACGGUAUUUAACCAGAAAGCCACGGCUAACUACGUGCCAGCAGCCGCGGUAAUACGUAGGUGGCAAGCGUUGUCCGGAUUUAUUGGGCGUAAAGCGAGCGCAGGCGGUUUUGUAAGUUCUGCUGUGAAAGCCCUCAGCUCAACUGAGGAAGUGCAGUGGAAACUACAAAACUUGAGUACAGAAGAGGAAAGUGGAACUCCAUGUGUAGCGGUGAAAUGCGUAGAUAUAUGGAAGAACACCAGUGGCGAAGGCGGCUUUCUGGUCUGUUACUGACGCUGAGGCUCGAAAGCAUGGGUAGCGAACAGGAUUAGAUACCCUGGUAGUCCAUGCCGUAAACGAUGAAUACUAGGUGUUGGAGGGUUUCCGCCCUUCAGUGCCGCAGCUAACGCAUUAAGUAUUCCGCCUGGGGAGUACGACCGCAAGGUUGAAACUCAAAGGAAUUGACGGGGGCCCGCACAAGUGGUGGAGCAUGUGGUUUAAUUCGAUGCUACGCGAAGAACCUUACCAGCUCUUGACAUCUUCUGCCAACCCAAGAGAUUGGGCGUUCCCUUCGGGGACAGAAUGACAGGUGGUGCAUGGUUGUCGUCAGCUCGUGUCGUGAGAUGUUGGGUUAAGUCCCGCAACGAGCGCAACCCUUAUUAUUAGUUGCCAGCAUUUAGUUGGGCACUCUAGUGAGACUGCCGGUGAUAAACCGGAGGAAGGUGGGGACGACGUCAAAUCAUCAUGCCCCUUAUGAGCUGGGCUACACACGUGCUACAAUGGAUGGUACAACGAGUCGCGAAACCGCGAGGUCAAGCUAAUCUCUUAAAGCCAUUCUCAGUUCGGAUUGCAGGCUGCAACUCGCCUGCAUGAAGUUGGAAUCACUAGUAAUCGUGGAUCAGCAUGCCACGGUGAAUACGUUCCCGGGCCUUGUACACACCGCCCGUCACACCAUGAGAGUUUGUAACCACCCAAAGAGCGAUGGGGUAACCUUUUAGGAGGCUAGUCGUCUAAGGUGGGACCAGAUGAUUAGGGGAAGU